UGAGGGAGAUUAAGUAGGCAAGUAUAUCAUGAAUCCGGUCAGGUCUGAAAAGAAGCAGCCGUAAUGACUAUACUUGGGUUGCUUUAAUCUCCCACUAAA
RNAcentral lists this signal recognition particle RNA (99 nucleotides) under Candidatus Pelagibacteraceae bacterium. RNAcentral's name for it is "signal recognition particle sRNA small type". It matches the Rfam family "Bacterial small signal recognition particle RNA". Rfam says of the family: The signal recognition particle (SRP) is a universally conserved ribonucleoprotein involved in the co-translational targeting of proteins to membranes. Archaeal SRP consists of a 7S RNA and homologues of the eukaryotic SRP19 and SRP54 proteins. Lineage: Bacteria; Pseudomonadati; Pseudomonadota; Alphaproteobacteria; Candidatus Pelagibacterales; Candidatus Pelagibacteraceae. The record is from RNAcentral.